RNAcentral lists this ribosomal RNA (253 nucleotides) under uncultured bacterium. Its description in RNAcentral is "partial 16S ribosomal RNA". It matches the Rfam family "Bacterial small subunit ribosomal RNA", at positions 524 to 776 of the family's 1533-position model. The record is from RNAcentral.
UACGUAGGAGGCAAGCGUUGUCCGGAAUUACUGGGCGUAAAGGGCGCGUAGGCGGAUGGCACAGUCAGAUGUGAAAUUCCCGGGCUUAACCUGGGGGCUGCAUUUGAUACGUGUUGUCUUGAGUUCGGAAGAGGGUCGUGGAAUUCCCAGUGUAGAGGUGAAAUUCGUAGAUAUUGGGAGGAACACCGGUGGCGAAGGCGGCCAUCUGGACGGAUACUGACGCUGAGACGCGAAAGCGUGGGUAGCAAACAGG